GACGAACGCUGGCGGCGUGCUUAACACAUGCAAGUCGAACGGAAAGGCCCUGCUUUUGUGCGGUGCUCGAGUGGCGAACGCGUGAGUAACACGUGAGUAACCUGCCCUUGACUUUGGGGUAACUUCAGGAAACUGGGGCUACUACCGGACAGCAGCUCCUGCUGCAUGGUGGGGGUGGGAAAGUUGCGGCGGCUGGGGAUGGACUCGCGGCUGAUCAGCUUGUUGGUGGGGUAGUGGCAUACCAAGGCUUUGACGGGUAGCCGGCCUGCGAGGGUGACCGGGCACAUUGGGACUGGGGAACGGCCCAGAGUCAUACGGGGGGCAGCAGUGGGGAACCUUGCACAAUGGGCGGAAGCCUGAGGCAGCAGCGCCGGGGGCGGGAUGCCGGCCUUCGGGUAGUAAACCGCUUUCGCCUGUGACGCAGCGUGAGUGACGGUAAUGGGUAAAGAAGCACCGGCUAACUACGUG
This 468-nucleotide ribosomal RNA is filed under the name uncultured bacterium. Its description in RNAcentral is "partial 16S ribosomal RNA". It matches the Rfam family "Bacterial small subunit ribosomal RNA", at positions 28 to 507 of the family's 1533-position model. The record is from RNAcentral.